This is a long non-coding RNA of Sarcophilus harrisii (Tasmanian devil), 455 nucleotides long. RefSeq lists it as uncharacterized. The record is from RefSeq and is a predicted model, not a curated record. The transcript is spliced from 3 exons. NCBI's taxonomy places the organism in Eukaryota, Metazoa, Chordata, Mammalia, Dasyuromorphia, Dasyuridae.
GUUCAAAUCUAGCCUGGUCUUCCUUGAUUGUGUAUCCUGAAAAGAACCAGCCUCAAGAGAACAGGCAGCUGAGAUAACUUAUUGAAGAGGUACUCUUAGAUAGAAGUUAAUGUGCUCAGUCCCUAAAAGUGAUCUGAAUGUGUCAGAAAUGGGAGAGGAAGAUGGCAGAUCCCCAAAGCAAGAAGAGGAUCGGAAUGUGGUCAAAGAUGGCAGAGGAAGAUCUUGGGGAGAUUCCUAAGACAAGGAGAGGAUCUGAAGGUUUAUCACUCCAAAUCUUAUAUCCCAGAUCUGAAUUUGAGGGAAAAUGAGGGAGGCUCAGGGGCAAGAUCUUCAAUAUUCCAUCCUAGCACUUAUCCCCCUGAAGAAUAAAAUCUGAGCAACAAUAAUUUAUCUGUCAUAUUCACUGGCUGCCUGCUGGCAAUUAAGACCAUGGGUCCUUGGUAAAGUUAUUGCUA